This is a long non-coding RNA of Solanum pennellii, 461 nucleotides long. RefSeq lists it as uncharacterized. NCBI's taxonomy places the organism in Eukaryota, Viridiplantae, Streptophyta, Magnoliopsida, Solanales, Solanaceae. The transcript has 2 exons. The record is from RefSeq and is a predicted model, not a curated record.
CUCAAAAUUACUUGAGAAAAUGUUGUUCAUCACUAAGCAAUUGAUUUCCUUCACUCUACUUCUUUUUGUCAUCUUCCCUUCUAAUGAAUGUGUCAAAGGAAAUAACAACUUGAGUCCUAUGAGUAAAAAGAUAGAAUUAGAUAAGAAUUGUACAACAACUCUUGGUCCAUGUACCUCAAUAUGCAAUGCAAGAUGUUGCCAUAGGUUAUGUGACUUAUACCUUGGUAGUAGAACACACCCUGCAUUGGGAAUUUGCAAGUAUUAUAGUAGUCCCAAAUAUAAGACUUGUGUUUGUACUUAUGAUUGUACAUCCAAAUGAUGUCAAUUGGUUUCAUUUGAUUCAAAAGAAAUAUUAAUUACCCUUGUUUGAAUGUCCACAUUGUUAUGUAUCGCUUUAUAACGUAUCGCAUUGUACUGUGUGUACUGAUGAAUAACAUAUUUUAAAGAAGUGUCUUGUUUAA